RNAcentral lists this long non-coding RNA (641 nucleotides) under Mus musculus (house mouse). Its description in RNAcentral is "HEATER_TCONS_01578752". Lineage: Eukaryota; Metazoa; Chordata; Mammalia; Rodentia; Muridae. The record is from RNAcentral.
CUCCCUUUUGUCUGUGCUCCCCCACCCACCUACACUCUCCCAUUCCACCACUACAGGAUCGCCCUACUCUGGGGCAUCAAACCUUCCUGGAACCAAGGCUACAUAUGUCUCUGGAGCCAUGGAUCCCUCCAGGUACAUUUCUUGGUUGGUGGUCUAGACUUUGGGAGAACUGGGUGGUCAGGCCAGCCUAUGUUAAUUCUUCUAAUGGGGUUGCAAUCCCCCUCUGCUCCUCUGGUCCUUCUGCCAGCUUCCCUACCAGGUACCCUGAGUUUCAAGUCUUCAUUCUUAUUCAGUAAGCAUUUUACAGACUGAUCUACAUAUCUCCAUUCCUGAAAGGUGUUUGUUUGUUUGUUUGGUACUUUGGGUUUUGGGUUUUGGUGUGUGUAAGAGUGUGUGUGUGUGUGUGUGUGUGUUUUAACUACUGCAUAUUUUAUCUUAGUCUACUUGGACUUUUAUUUUAAAAAUAACACUUCACUGGGCAAUUUAUACAUACAUUUUAUGUUAUACAUUUUAAUCAAUUUUUAAACUCUAUGCAUACAGUGUAUUUUGAUGUAUUAUGGUCAUAUUUACCCCUAUUCCUCCUCUCAGGUCUACUCCCUAGCUCCUCCUUACUUCAUGUCUUGUUUUUUUUAGUAGUCCAC